UACGGGGGGGCAAGCGUUGUUCGGAAUUACUGGGCGUAAAGGGCUCGUAGGCGGCCAACUAAGUCAGACGUGAAAUCCCCAGGCUCAACCUGGGAACUGCGUCUGAUACUGGAUGGCUUGAAUCCGGGAGAGGGAUGCAGAAUUCCAGGUGUAGCGGUGAAAUGCGCAGAUAUCGGGAGGAACACCGGUGGCGAAGGCGGUUCUCUGGGCCUUACCUGACGCUGAGGAGCGAAAGCGUGGGGAGCGAACAGG
Molecule: ribosomal RNA, 252 nt
Filed under: uncultured bacterium
Lineage: Bacteria
Description: partial 16S ribosomal RNA
Rfam family: Bacterial small subunit ribosomal RNA
Source: RNAcentral